This 254-nucleotide ribosomal RNA is filed under the name uncultured bacterium. Its description in RNAcentral is "partial 16S ribosomal RNA". It matches the Rfam family "Bacterial small subunit ribosomal RNA", at positions 524 to 776 of the family's 1533-position model. The record is from RNAcentral.
UGCGUAGGGGGCAAGCGUUGUCCGGAUUUAUUGGGCGUAAAGAGCUCGUAGGUGGUUCGGUAAGUCGGAUGUGAAAUCUCCAGGCUCAACCUGGAGGGGUCAUUCGAUACUGCCGUGACUAGAGGUCGGUAGGGGAGUGUGGAAUUCCUGGUGGAGCGGUGAAAUGCGCAGAUAUCAGGAGGAACACCCGUAGCGAAGGCGGCACUCUGGGCCGAUACUGACACUGAGGAGCGAAAGCGUGGGGAGCGAACAGG